This 286-nucleotide long non-coding RNA is filed under the name Elaeis guineensis (African oil palm). Its description in RNAcentral is "long non-coding RNA (EGUI_LNC014671)". The record is from RNAcentral. Lineage: Eukaryota; Viridiplantae; Streptophyta; Magnoliopsida; Arecales; Arecaceae.
GUAUAUUGGCAUAUCUCUAACACCGGUCACAUCUUCGGACAUAUUCGAUGGAGUUAUGGUACAUGGUAGGCUAGUAAUAACCUUGUCGGAGCAGCUUAUGGGAUAAAGAUCUGGCUCCCAUGUGAUUUCCACAGACCCCCUCAUGUACCUCCCUCAAGGCGAAGUCUGCUUCGGAAGGUCGGAGACAUUUCAAGAGGGGCAAGGAGUACGACCUCUUGUAUAGCUUGCCUUUAUAGAGGAUAUAUCGGGAGGCCUGGUUCUUAAGCUUCCGAGCCUCUUUUGCAUC